GAGUUUGAUUCUGGCUCAGGAUGAACGCUGGCGGCGUGCCUAAUACAUGCAAGUUGAACGGACUUGGAGGGUGCUUGCACCUAACAAGUUAGUAGCGAACGGGUGAGUAAUACAUAAGCAACCUACCUAUUAGACUGGGAUAACUAUGGGAAACGAUAGCUAAUACCGGAUAGGUAACUUGAAGGCAUCUUUAAGUUAUUAAAGGUUAGAGACACUAAUAGAUGGGCUUAUGGCGUAUUAGUUAGUUGGUGAGGUAACGGCUCACCAAGACGAUGAUACGUAGCCGGCCUGAGAGGGUGAACGGCCACAUUGGGACUGAGACACGGCCCAGACUCCUACGGGAGGCAGCAGUAGGGAAUUUUCGGCAAUGGGCGCAAGCCUGACCGAGCAACGCCGCGUGAGUGAAGAAGGCCUUCGGGUUGUAAAGCUCUGUUAUAAAUUAAGAAUGGCUAUAAGGGACUAUAGAGA
This 468-nucleotide ribosomal RNA is filed under the name Erysipelotrichaceae bacterium canine oral taxon 311. RNAcentral describes it as "bacterial SSU rRNA". It matches the Rfam family "Bacterial small subunit ribosomal RNA", at positions 9 to 470 of the family's 1533-position model. The record is from RNAcentral. Lineage: Bacteria; Bacillati; Bacillota; Erysipelotrichia; Erysipelotrichales; Erysipelotrichaceae.